RNAcentral lists this ribosomal RNA (214 nucleotides) under uncultured marine eukaryote. RNAcentral describes it as "partial 18S ribosomal RNA". It matches the Rfam family "Eukaryotic small subunit ribosomal RNA", at positions 1241 to 1473 of the family's 1831-position model. The record is from RNAcentral.
UGACAGAUUGAUAGCUCUUUCCUUGAUUCGUGGGUGGUGGUGCAUGGCCGUUCUUAGUUGGUGGAGUGAUUUGUCUGGUUAAUUCCGAUAACGAACGAGACCCUAGCCUGCUAAAUAGCUACACCUAUUUUCGAUUACUUGGCCUCCUUCAAUAGACGGACUUUGCCCGGCUAAAGGAAGUUAAUUUGAAGCAAUACUGUGUCGGCCAUACCCA